GGUCGGCUGGCCUAAUGGUAAGGCUUCCGUUUCCGGUACGGAGGAUUGCAGGUUCGAAUCCUGCGUCGAUCG
RNAcentral lists this transfer RNA (72 nucleotides) under Ascosphaera aggregata. Its description in RNAcentral is "tRNA-Arg". It matches the Rfam family "tRNA". Rfam says of the family: Transfer RNA (tRNA) molecules are approximately 80 nucleotides in length. Their secondary structure includes four short double-helical elements and three loops (D, anti-codon, and T loops). Lineage: Eukaryota; Fungi; Ascomycota; Eurotiomycetes; Onygenales; Ascosphaeraceae. The record is from RNAcentral. RNAcentral also lists the same sequence under 1 other name.